RNAcentral lists this ribosomal RNA (508 nucleotides) under uncultured bacterium. RNAcentral describes it as "partial 16S ribosomal RNA". It matches the Rfam family "Bacterial small subunit ribosomal RNA", at positions 28 to 523 of the family's 1533-position model. The record is from RNAcentral.
GAUGAACGCUAGCUACAGGCUUAACACAUGCAAGUCGAGGGGAAACGAUAUUGGAAGCUUGCUUCCGAUAGGCGUCGACCGGCGCACGGGUGAGUAACGCGUAUCCAACCUGCACAUCACUUGGGGAUAACCUUGCGAGAGUACGACUAAUACCGAAUGACGUCUCUAGAAGACAUCUGAAGGCGAUUAAAGAUGUAUCUGUGAUGGAUGGGGAUGCGUCUGAUUAGCUUGUUGGCUGGGUAACGGCCCACCAAGUCGACGAUCAGUAGGGGUGCUGAUGAGAAGGACCCGCCCAUUGGAAAUGAGACACGGUCCAAACGCCUACGGGAGGCAGCAGGAAGAAAUAUUGGUCAAUGGACCAGAGACUGAAACAGCCAAGUAGCGUGCAGGAUGACGGCCCUAUGGGUUGUAAGCUGCUUUUAUAAGGGAAUAAAGUGAGUCUCGUGAGACUUUUUGCAAGUACCUUAUGAAUAAGGACCGGCUAAUUCCGUGCCAGCCGCCACGGUAA